Molecule: ribosomal RNA, 496 nt
Filed under: uncultured bacterium
Lineage: Bacteria
Description: partial 16S ribosomal RNA
Rfam family: Bacterial small subunit ribosomal RNA
Source: RNAcentral
AUGAACGCUGGCGGCGUGCCUCAUACCUGCAAGUCGAGCGAACAGACGAGGAGCUUGCUCCUCUGACGUUAGCGGCGGACGGGUGAGUAACACGUGGAUAACCUACCUAUAAGACUGGGAUAACUUCGGGAAACCGGAGCUAAUACCGGAUAAUAUAUUGAACCGCAUGGUUCAAUAGUGAAAGACGGUUUUGCUGUCACUUAUAGAUGGAUCCGCGCCGCAUUAGCUAGUUGGUAAGGUAACGGCUUACCAAGGCGACGAUGCGUAGCCGACCUGAGAGGGUGAUCGGCCACACUGGAACUGAGACACGGUCCAGACUCCUACGGGAGGCAGCAGUAGGGAAUCUUCCGCAAUGGGCGAAAGCCUGACGGAGCAACGCCGCGUGAGUGAUGAAGGUCUUCGGAUCGUAAAACUCUGUUAUUAGGGAAGAACAAAUGUGUAAGUAACUAUGCACGUCCUGACGGUACCUAAUCAGAAAGCCACGGCUAACUACGUG